GACGUAGGGCGCGAGCGUUGUCCGGAUUUAUUGGGCGUAAAGAGCGUGUAGGCGGCCGCACAGGUCCGUUGUGAAAACUGGAGGCUUAACCUUCAGACGUCGAUGGAAACCGUGCGGCUAGAGUCCGGAAGAGGAGAGUGGAAUUCCUGGUGUAGCGGUGAAAUGCGCAGAUAUCAGGAAGAACACCCGUGGCGAAGGCGGCUCUCUGGGACGGUACUGACGCUGAGACGCGAAAGCGUGGGGAGCGAACAGG
Molecule: ribosomal RNA, 253 nt
Filed under: uncultured bacterium
Lineage: Bacteria
Description: partial 16S ribosomal RNA
Rfam family: Bacterial small subunit ribosomal RNA
Source: RNAcentral